GAACGUGAGCCUUAGGCCUUGUUUAGUUCAAAAAAAUUUCGGAUUUCGCUACUGUAGCACUUUCGUUUUUAUUUAACAAAUAUUGUCUAAUCAUGAACUAACUAGGAUUAAAAGAUUCGUCUCGCGAUUUACAGACAAACUGUAUAAUUAGUUUUUGUUUUCGUCUAUAUUUAAUGCUUCAUGUAUGUACUGUAAAAUUCGAUGUGACGUGGAAUCUUGAAAACUUUUUGGAUUUCGGGAUGAACACAAGCCCUUAGCAAAAACUGAAGAGUUACCUAAAACGUAAGUAACUGAGAUACGGAUGGAGUAGAAAAGAAUAUUUGCCCGAACCGCCGUCUCGACCGUAGAGCUGCUCACCCAUUAUUAAAAACGUACGGAAAAUGCCGAGGAAAUCUUAGCUACCUAUUAUGACAAAAUAGUACUGUAGCUAUCUAGCGGUGAACGGCAAAUUAAAAUAAGAAUAUUAAAGUGUUCUCUCGAUUCUAGUUCUACUUUUUAGGUACAUAAAUUUUAUUAUAUACUUCAAUUUCGAAUGGAAGUUGUAUUUCAUUAAUAUGAACUGUACAACACGUUAGAUUAUUAAUAUAGAUCUGCUGAAUCUUGAUAAAAAAAUGUUGCAUCUAAUAUUCAUAAUAAGGUUUUGUUUUAGCACAGCUUCAAAUGAUUUUUGUUCCUUAUUUCCUUGCUACAAGGCGCAAGAGAGUUGAAGCUAGUAAAGUAAAAAAAAAAAGAAAAAGUCUACAUAACCAUCAAACUAUCUAGAGUGAAAUACUUCAUUCCUCAAACUAUAAUACCGGAUAUUCUACCCAUUAAACUUUUAAAACCGGUCAAAUAACCCCUCGAGUAGUUUUAAAGCAUGGUUUUGUCUUUUUUUAUAUUUAUUUCCGUUGAAUCUUUGAAAAAUCAUAAUAAAUUAUAGAAAAAUCAUAAAAUAAAAAAUUCAAUUUUGUUGGACUCUAGAUGAGUAGAUCUAAGUUGAGCAUGCAGCCUGCGGGCCAAAAGCAUGGUAAUUUAGCCCCGCCCGAGCACGGCCCGAUCUCGACCGUGCCCAUGUUGGCCUGAAGCAUGUAGCGGGCCAUGCUUGGGCUGACCCCUCGGCCCGCCGGACGGCACGACCCGGCACACUUUUAAUAGCAGACAUGGUGUCGGUCCGGU
This 1155-nucleotide long non-coding RNA is filed under the name Sorghum bicolor (sorghum). Its description in RNAcentral is "long non-coding RNA (SBIC_LNC017345)". Lineage: Eukaryota; Viridiplantae; Streptophyta; Magnoliopsida; Poales; Poaceae. The record is from RNAcentral.